RNAcentral lists this ribosomal RNA (109 nucleotides) under Chelonia mydas (Green sea turtle). The record is from RNAcentral. Lineage: Eukaryota; Metazoa; Chordata; Testudines; Cheloniidae.
GUCAACGGCCAUACCACCUUGAACAUGCCCAAUCUCGGAAGCUAAGCAGGGUUGGGCCUGGUUAGUACUUGGAUGGGAGACAUCCUGGGAAUACUGGGUGCUGUAGGCA